This is a long non-coding RNA of Pan troglodytes (chimpanzee), 3050 nucleotides long. RefSeq lists it as uncharacterized. The record is from RefSeq and is a predicted model, not a curated record. The transcript has 12 exons. NCBI's taxonomy places the organism in Eukaryota, Metazoa, Chordata, Mammalia, Primates, Hominidae.
ACCAGAACCCCUGGAUGGAAUUACAGCCUUUUAAUUUACAACUUGGGUUCUUGAAGAGAAGUCCUCUGACCAGCAGCCUGAUCACCUGGAAAUUUGUUAGAAAUGUAGGUUCCUGGGCCUCCCGAGAUUGACUGCUCAGAAGUUCUGGAGAUGUCACUGCCACUCUCACCAGCUCCAUCUUCAUCCCGCCGAGUCCCAUCUUCCUUCUCACCAGCCUGGUAUUUUUGAACGUACAUUUGAAUUGCAACAGUCGGCAUCAAGAUGGUGGGAAAUAGCAGUUGAGAUUUCUCAAUUAGAAGAUUGAAAAGUCUAAGGCUGGACAAACAAACAAACAAUGAGAGGUUAAGCCUGAGUUUGGUCUUCUGUUACUUGGAACUGAAAUAAUGUGCAUUGACACACCUAUCAAGUCAAAGUAUUGUCUUUUGCUGGUCUGCUCUGGUCCUGGAAACAUCCACUGAUAGAAUCACUGGUCUGGGACAAAUUGUGGUACCCAAAGACCUCAGGAAGCACUUAGAAGCAUUACUCCUGAAGUCCCAUUCGUCCCAAGAAGAGUUGCUGGCUGGAGGAGACAAUAUGUAAACAUGUCAUGACAAGAUGGUGUGGUGAGUGCUAUGUUGGCAUGUUGGAGGCAAGCAUAGCCAUGCUCACAGUGAGGAAUGACUUAGGAGCGCAACCACAGCCCCAUGCUGCCUUCCACCAUUUGGAUAAAAGAAGGAAAAUGCCUUCAAAUUGCGAUGUAAGCUCUGUCCAGAGAAUUCAGGGAUGGUUUUACCCAACAGGAUUUGUGAGGCAUCAACCACCCACCAAGCACUGUUCUAGGUGGGGGAGUCACUGCAGUGAGCAAAACAAAGUCCUUGUCUGCAUGGAUCUUUCAUUCCAGUUGGGGUGGGUAACAAUAAACACAUAAGCAAUAAGCAAUUGAAGACAGGAGAGAAUACAAAUGGCAUGAAGAAAAAUAACACUACUGAGUGAUUGAGAGCAGGGCAGAGGGAAAACCUGUCUAGGGAGGUAACGGAGAAGAAGAGACCUGAGGAGGAGCGCAAAGUGAAUCACAGAGCCACGUCAGAGAGGAUGCUCCAGGCAGAACAAAUACAAGAACAGAGGACCCAGAGCUGGGACCACAGCCAUCAAGUUUGAGAUAAUCUGUUAUGGAAACAUAAGAAGCUAAUACAAGAUGCAGGAGUGAAGCAGGGAGGUCUGGAAAAAAGCUGUUGCAAAAAUACAGUAGAAUGAAAGGAUUGCUUCUGCUUUAACCUCUGAUGCUUUAUCAAGGCCGAGCUGAGGGCUGCACCAUCGGGAGCUUGGUGAGGAAACUGAGGCACAGAGAGAUGAAGGAACUUGCCCAAGGUCACACAGCUGAGGAACCCAGGCACUCAGAUUCUGGGGCCUCCUCUCAUAACCACAAUGCUACAUCCCUGCCUCUAACAUCGGGACAACCAGGCCUUCCUCACAGGCAUUAUCGGGACUAUAAGAUAAGAUGCAUAAGGUUUUAUCUCCAGAGAGAAGGCAGCUAUGGUCCAAGGUCAAACACAGAGGCUACAGCUAGAAACCUCUAGACCAAGUUUGGUCCAUAUGGUGUUCUCUAUAGAGUUUCUUUCUUUUUAAUUUGGAUUUUUAAUACUUUAAAAUUAAGAGCACACACAUAACAGUAUCCUUUUCCAGCUUCCUUAAACAAUAUCUGAACAUUUGGCCAAAGUAGAUCCCUGCUGGGGCAUGAAAUAAUCAGCUGAUGCCCAGUUUCCCUCGGUCCUCACCAUCCUCUCACGCCUUCCCCUCCUGAGGCUACCGUCAGAGGCCAUUUCUCAUCCUGCAUGCACUGUAGCAUUUCUGACACUAGGUACACUUCGCUCGCUAUCUGCCUGGCCUCUGUGGGCAUGAGGGUUUAUAGACAGAGCAAAACCAAGUAGUCUGUGGGGGUGCGUGCCUAUCAUUUCCAAAGGGAGCCACAGGUCGGUCAUUUGCUAUCUAUGAGAUUCAAAGGUCAGGGUCUUCUCAGAGAGUAAACUCACGAAGGUACGUAGGAAUAUCUUGCAGGCAUUUCUUUCCAGCAUGCCACAAACCAGUGGUCUCACAGGGCAUGGUGUUUUAGUGAGAGCUGGGGCUAAACAUAAUGUUUUCAGCUUUUUUUUCCUUGCAUUUUUUUUCUCAGCUCUGGUCUUCUUCUUGGCAUUUUUGACACAUACCACACGCUGGCCCAUCAUUUCCUUCUGGUUACCCAGGUGUUCCAAAAGAUCCCCCCAAGGUGAUCCAAAAGAUCCGUUCUCCAGGGCUCAGAUCUGAAAGUGUAGUUAUGUUACCUGGGAGAGAUGACAUGAACACACCAUUUUCCCAAGCAGGGCAACCAUCAAGGUUUACUCUGAUGGAUACCCUGACUGGUCAAUGGGAAGACAGGCCACCACCCCCUCCCCUCUGCUUUCUUCCUGAGAGGGUUCCUAACUUCUCUGAAGUUAAGUUGAGCGUCCACAUCUAAAGCCCCAGGAUGAGCCUCCUGGUGGAGGAGAGUGCUCCUGCCUCUCCUGCCUCUCUUUAUGGAUUGUAUAUCAAGGAGACACCCGCAAGGACUCUGGUGGCCUGGACAUACUUCUGGAAGGCUGACUCUUCCAGACAGAUGAAACCAAAGGACUGGACAGUGUUGAAUCCUUGGGGGGAAGAAAAACCAACACUUUUUUUAAAGCUGACAGCACAUUCCAUCCACUCGGCAAUGUAGAACUAAUGAAGAUAUAAGUGUUGAGAUGUUUCCCAAAAUGCCUCACAAAUAUUCUGGGAUGUCACCUUUUGCAAUGGAUCUGCAGGUUCCAUCGUGCCCUAGCUUUUUGCCUGAGGGGAGGCUCUGGCCAUGGGUCCCUUUUCAGGUCAGCAAGAGUGCCGUGCAGAGCAGGAGCCCCAUCCAACGCUCUACAGGUAUACCAUCCAAUACUGUCCAAUAUUGUAGCCAUAUGUGACUAAUGAGCACUUGAAGUGUGGCUAGACUGAGAUGUGCUGGAAGCACACAAACACAACUGAUUGUGUGUUUGGAUGUACUGGAUUAAAUAAAAUACCUUAUCAAAGUU